Long non-coding RNA from Sinocyclocheilus grahami, 221 nucleotides. RefSeq lists it as uncharacterized. The record is from RefSeq and is a predicted model, not a curated record. Lineage: Eukaryota; Metazoa; Chordata; Actinopteri; Cypriniformes; Cyprinidae. The transcript has 4 exons.
AUGAUGAUGUAAUCACUGCUGGACUGAGACAUCAUGCUACAGAUGGCUUACCAGGAAACUAUGAUGAUGUCAUCAUUGUACAACAGAUCUCCAAUGAUAAAGCAGAGGGUGUUCAGGAGGAGUAUGAUGAUGUGAAGAAUGUCAGAGAAUAUAUGAGUGACAUGAUUGACUAUGAUGAUGUGGAGGAGGAUCCAGGGAAACAUGGAGUAACUGUGUAACUC